AUUGAACGCUGGCGACAUGCCUUACACAUGCAAGUCGAACGGCAGCACGGGUGCUUGCACCUGGUGGCGAGUGGCGAACGGGUGAGUAAUACAUCGGAACAUGUCCUGUAGUGGGGGAUAGCCCGGCGAAAGCCGGAUUAAUACCGCAUACGAUCUACGGAUGAAAGCGGGGGACCUUCGGGCCUCGCGCUAUAGGGUUGGCCGAUGGCUGAUUAGCUAGUUGGUGGGGUAAAGGCCUACCAAGGCGACGAUCAGUAGCUGGUCUGAGAGGACGACCAGUCACACUGGGACUGAGACACGGCCCAGACUCCUACGGGAGGCAGCAGUGGGGAAUUUUGGGCAAUGGGCGAAAGCCUGAUCCAGCAAUGCCGCGUGUGUGAAGAAGGCCUUCGGGUUGUAAAGCACUUUUGUCCGGAAAGAAAUCCUUGGCCCUAAUACGGGCGGGGGAUGACGGUACCGGAAGAAUAAGCACCGGCUAACUACGUG
This 486-nucleotide ribosomal RNA is filed under the name uncultured bacterium. RNAcentral describes it as "partial 16S ribosomal RNA". It matches the Rfam family "Bacterial small subunit ribosomal RNA", at positions 30 to 507 of the family's 1533-position model. The record is from RNAcentral.